GUCCUGGCCCUAAACGAUGAAUGCUUGGUGUGGCGGGUAUCGAUCCCUGCCGUGCCGAAGCUAACGCAUUAAGCAUUCCGCCUGGGGAGUACGGUAGCAAGGCUGAAACUCAAAGGAAUUGACGGGGGCCCCGCACAAGCGGUGGAGCAUGUGGUUCAAUUCGACGCAACGCGAAGAACCUUACCCAGGCUUGAACAGCGAGUGACCACUUCCGAAAGGAAGCUUCCGCAAGGACACUCGUAGAGGUGCUGCAUGGCUGUCGU
Molecule: ribosomal RNA, 263 nt
Filed under: uncultured bacterium
Lineage: Bacteria
Description: partial 16S ribosomal RNA
Rfam family: Bacterial small subunit ribosomal RNA
Source: RNAcentral